AGUGAACGCUGGCGGCAGGCCUAAUACAUGCAAGUCGAACGGCAGCACAGUGGAGCUUGCUCCAUGGGUGGCGAGUGGCGGACGGGUGAGGAAUACAUGGGAAUCUGCCCAGUCGUGGGGGAUAACGUAUGGAAACGUACGCUAAUACCGCAUGCGCCCUUCGGGGGAAAGUCGGGGACCGCAAGGCCUGACGCGAUUGGAUGAGCCCAUGUUCGAUUAGCUAGUUGGCGGGGUAACGGCCCACCAAGGCGACGAUCGAUAGCUGGUCUGAGAGGAUGAUCAGCCACACUGGAACUGAGACACGGUCCAGACUCCUACGGGAGGCAGCAGUGGGGAAUUUUGGACAAUGGGCGCAAGCCUGAUCCAGCCAUGCCGCGUGCGGGAAGAAGGCCUCGGUUGUAACCGCUUUGUCUAGGAGAAUACCUUGUAGCUAAUACCU
RNAcentral lists this ribosomal RNA (439 nucleotides) under uncultured bacterium. Its description in RNAcentral is "bacterial SSU rRNA". It matches the Rfam family "Bacterial small subunit ribosomal RNA", at positions 29 to 480 of the family's 1533-position model. The record is from RNAcentral.